RNAcentral lists this ribosomal RNA (262 nucleotides) under Flavobacterium micromati. Its description in RNAcentral is "partial 16S ribosomal RNA". It matches the Rfam family "Bacterial small subunit ribosomal RNA", at positions 619 to 885 of the family's 1533-position model. Lineage: Bacteria; Pseudomonadati; Bacteroidota; Flavobacteriia; Flavobacteriales; Flavobacteriaceae. The record is from RNAcentral.
AACGGCCAUUGAUACUGCUAGACUUGAAUUACUGGGAAGUAACUAGAAUAUGUAGUGUAGCGGUGAAAUGCUUAGAGAUUACAUGGAAUACCAAUUGCGAAGGCAGGUUACUACUAGUGGAUUGACGCUGAUGGACGAAAGCGUGGGUAGCGAACAGGAUUAGAUACCCUGGUAGUCCACGCCGUAAACGAUGGAUACUAGCUGUUGGGGGCAACUUCAGUGGCUAAGCGAAAGUGAUAAGUAUCCCACCUGGGGAGUACGA